Molecule: ribosomal RNA, 164 nt
Filed under: Selenicereus monacanthus
Lineage: Eukaryota; Viridiplantae; Streptophyta; Magnoliopsida; Caryophyllales; Cactaceae
Description: Hylocereus monacanthus 5.8S ribosomal RNA
Rfam family: 5.8S ribosomal RNA
About the family: 5.8S ribosomal RNA (5.8S rRNA) is a component of the large subunit of the eukaryotic ribosome. It is transcribed by RNA polymerase I as part of the 45S precursor that also contains 18S and 28S rRNA.
Source: RNAcentral
UGUAACAACUCUCAACGACGGAUAUCUCGACUCUCACAUCGAUGAAAAACAUAGCAAAAUGCGAUACUUUGUGUGAAUUGGAGAAUCCCAUGAACCAUCAAGUCUUUGAAUGCAAGUUAAGCAUGAAGCCUUCCUGUCAAGCGCACAUCUGCUGGAUGUCACAC